AUAAAGUGGAAAAUGUUGGUGUAGAAAAACAUGGUACGAGAUAACACAAGAAUUAACGCAUGCAAUAAAAAAAAAAAGAAUUAACAGGUGAAACUUCAAAUGAAGUACUCAAAUAAAACCCAGUACAUCUUAUUCCAUUUCAAAAACUAUAAAUUUGGAAAAAUAAUUUUCUCCUAUUUUCUUAAUUUUACCUUUCUGGGUUCCUCUUUGUUCGUGCUCAGAGUUAGAUCUGAGACUUUCAAGAAGUCACACAUUUAUUGAUGCUUAUUGAAAGAGAAAAUGAACUGCAGAUACACAGAGAUAAAUCGCCGGAACUUGAAACUUAGCCGGAGAAGAGAAUAGAUUCCCACAAAUUGUGCUGAAUUUGAAGCUUACCCAGAAAAGAAAAUAUAUUUCUAAAAUCUUUACUCAAGUCUUCAUAGAUUUUAAGAAUGAUUUUCAGAUCUAGAAAGAAAGAGGAAAAAACGAAGUCUUUGGUAAAUAUUACAAAGAGAAAGAAGACGAGAAGAUCCCAUAUGAAAACCCACCAAUUUCCAAGCAGCACACUUAAUUCGGCUCAACUCAAUUGCCUCAGCUGACCACAACAUGCUCACUUCCAAGUAGCUCAAUUAAACCGGCUCAAUUCAAGGUGGCUGAGAUCACAAAUUCGGCUUGUGAACAGUAAAUUCGCAAUUGUCUCUUUUACUUUUAGUUAGAUAUGGAGUAAAAGGCUCACGCGGGGGGCGCAAAUAAUUGCAUUAAAUAGUGGAUUGAAUGUGCUCAUCGUUUAGACUCCCUCUAACCCAUCACCAAAUGGUAUGUCUAAUUCCUGAACACGAAAAUGACAAAUACUUGUUGAACAUAUAGGCUGAUAUGAAAUAAAAUGCAGUUCAUGCACGCAAGACUAAAUAGAUUUGUAGAAGCUUCAAAUAAUAAGGCACUGCCUGACUCACUUUCUAAUCCAUCUUUAUCAUCAUAAAAC
Molecule: long non-coding RNA, 961 nt
Filed under: Olea europaea subsp. europaea
Lineage: Eukaryota; Viridiplantae; Streptophyta; Magnoliopsida; Lamiales; Oleaceae
Source: RNAcentral